GAGACUUUAGUAUAAUUAAGUAUAAUUUAUUUUCAAUAAAUGGGUGUAUUAGUCUUA
RNAcentral lists this transfer RNA (57 nucleotides) under Oesophagostomum asperum. Its description in RNAcentral is "tRNA-Glu". Lineage: Eukaryota; Metazoa; Nematoda; Chromadorea; Rhabditida; Strongylidae. The record is from RNAcentral.